Molecule: transfer RNA, 86 nt
Filed under: Bacillota bacterium
Lineage: Bacteria; Bacillati; Bacillota
Description: Firmicutes bacterium (anaerobic digester metagenome) tRNA-Leu
Rfam family: tRNA
About the family: Transfer RNA (tRNA) molecules are approximately 80 nucleotides in length. Their secondary structure includes four short double-helical elements and three loops (D, anti-codon, and T loops).
Source: RNAcentral
GCCGGAGUGGCGGAAAGGCAGACGCAGGGGACUUAAAAUCCUCUGUCCGCGAGGACGUGCGGGUUCGAAUCCCGCCUCCGGCACCA